AGUGAACGCUGGCGGUAGGCCUAACACAUGCAAGUCGAACGGCAGCACAGUAAGAGCUUGCUCUUACGGGUGGCGAGUGGCGGACGGGUGAGGAAUACAUCGGAAUCUACUUUUUCGUGGGGGAUAACGUAGGGAAACUUACGCUAAUACCGCAUACGACCUACGGGUGAAAGCAGGGGAUCUUCGGACCUUGCGCGAUUGAAUGAGCCGAUGUCGGAUUAGCUAGUUGGCGGGGUAAAGGCCCACCAAGGCGACGAUCCGUAGCUGGUCUGAGGGGAUGAUCAGCCACACUGGAACUGAGACACGGUCCAGACUCCUACGGGAGGCAGCAGUGGGGAAUAUUGGACAAUGGGCGCAAGCCUGAUCCAGCCAUACCGCGUGGGUGAAGAAGGCCUUCGGGUUGUAAAGCCCUUUUGUUGGGAAAGAAAAGCAGCAGGUUAAUACCCCGCUGUUCUGACGGUACUCAAAGAAUAAGCACCGGCUAACUUCGUG
This 492-nucleotide ribosomal RNA is filed under the name uncultured bacterium. RNAcentral describes it as "partial 16S ribosomal RNA". It matches the Rfam family "Bacterial small subunit ribosomal RNA", at positions 29 to 507 of the family's 1533-position model. The record is from RNAcentral.